GAUGAAGAACGUAGCGAAAUGCGAUAAGUAGAGUGAAUUGCAGAAUUCAGUGAAUCAUCGAAUCUUUGAACGCACAUUGCGCCCCUUGGUAUUCCAUGGGGCAUGCCUGUUCGAGCGUCAUCUACACCCUCAAGCUCUGCUUGGUGUUGGGCGUCUGUCCCGCCCCCGCGCGUGGACUCGCCCCAAAUCCAUUGGCAGCGUUCCUUGCCCCCUCUCGCGCAGCACAUUGCGCUUCUCGAGGGCGGCUCCGGGACGCGAUCCAGCAAGAUGACCACCGUCUUUGACCUCGGAUCAGGUAGGGAUACCCGCUGAACUUAAGCAUAUCAAUAAGCGGAGGA
RNAcentral lists this unclassified non-coding RNA (338 nucleotides) under soil metagenome. RNAcentral describes it as "partial contains 5.8S ribosomal RNA, internal transcribed spacer 2, and large subunit ribosomal RNA". The stretch from base 1 to 120 matches the Rfam family "5.8S ribosomal RNA", at positions 35 to 154 of the family's 154-position model. The record is from RNAcentral.